This is a non-coding RNA of Pelobates cultripes (western spadefoot toad), 2076 nucleotides long. NCBI's taxonomy places the organism in Eukaryota, Metazoa, Chordata, Amphibia, Anura, Pelobatidae. The record is from the annotation of a GenBank genome assembly.
GUUCGUCAUUUAGGCUGUAUUUGUCCACAUUUGACUCAAACAUUCCAGCAUUAGUAAAUGCAUCCACUGACGUGUCAUAAACUGGAAUACAUUUCACAAUUUUCAUUAAUUGUUCAUGUAUUUUCAAAUUAAGUUUUGCAGCUCUGUCUUGAAAUUUAUAUUUCUGCAAAUCACUCUGUGAGGAUACAUUUUCAGUAUCUAUUGGUUCUGGGAUUAGAUUCUGUGCCUGUAUUUUUCUUGUAUUAACACACACUUGCUUAACUUCAUUUCUAAGCUGGCAAAUAAGAUCAUUUCUUAGUUCAACUCUAUCCUGUAAUUCACAGACUGUUUCUGACUGUUUACAGCAUGUGCUCUCUGUUACAUUGUUACACUGUUCAUUUAAAUCUGAUUUGUCUUCUGUUAACCCAUUCAAAUCUACUUCUUUUUCUGAUGAUUCUAAAUUGUCUUGACCUGCAUCUCGUUUACAAAUCAAUGCAUUGUAAGUACAGACUAGUUUCAUAACAUUUCUGAUCUUUUGUUUUUUUCUUAUUAACAAACAAUUUCUUGUCAAUUUCACUAUUGGCAAUUUCACAUUGUGUGUAUAAAGAUUGCCACAAUACAGCAUCUGAAUAGCUGCUAUUAUAUGCAAACUGCAAUUUACUUUUCUCUGCAAUAUCAUUUAUAAAUUCCACAAUUCAUUUGUUCCAACAAAAUCUAACUUUCCUUAUUCCAACAUGCCAAUAACCUCUUACUUAACAACAUAUAAAAGAUUACACAAAGUUCCUAACUAGGUUAUUCGUCCUGCAAAUAUACCUUUUUUCCCUCACAUUCCUCACUGAGUUUACAAGCAUUUCACCCAUUCACCCCCCCUGUAGCCAAUACUCAUAGCAGUCAGAGCAAGAGAAAGCAACAAAGAAGGAGGGGGGAGGAGGGAGGAAGACUUGCAAGCACAAAGUUUUUUAACCAUGUGAUUGCCUAAGCACAGCUCUCCUUAGGACAAAAGAUAGAAUAGGAGAGUAACGAUACAGAUUGUAUAGAUUACAAUUAACAUAUAUGGUACCUAACAAGACAUACACAGACAAAAGCACAAAAUACAGAUGUAAUUAAAUCACAAAGUCCUUAAAAUAAAUGCCGGCUUAUAAUAAAUCAAAUCACACACACAGAAACACUCAAGCACAUAAACCGCUCCUUUACCGAAGCUUAGCUAAAAUACAUUUAUUUUAUUUUUUUUUUUAUUUUUUUUAUUUAUUUUUUUUUUUUAACUCUUGACCGAGUCUUAAUAAAACAAAGGAACCGCCAGGUUUUUUACCAAACGAGGCCAAAACAUCACUCACUAGCUUCUUUACCAAAGCUUAGCUAAAAUACAUUUAUUAAACUCUUUACCGAGUCUUAAUAAAACAAAGGAACCGCCAGGUUUUUUACCAAACCCGAACUUGGCUAAAUAUGCCAGCGCUUAACCACACUUGGCAGCAUUAUAUAACAGUAUUAAGCAAGUAGUAAAACAGAUUCUCAAGCAGCCACUUUCACACAUAAAACUCACACUCAGGACUUAGGCUGUAGAUAGACAAGUGACAGGUUCUAUAUAAAAGGGGACAUGUGGGCAUACUAUAUACCUGUCUGACGUUAACCACAGGAAGCCGAGUGAAGGCCCAGAGUGCAGACCAAUUCCAAAGAAUGGAAAAUAUAGGUAAGUUACUUAUUUACCAUAUGCAGAGGUGAUCAGGCUCUUUUUUUUUUCCAAUCUCUGGGGGUCUCCUCUCCGGUCCUGGGAUUUUACGGCUUCGAGCAGAAUAACAACAACCCUCACAUCCCGGACGAGCCCCCAAAUUGUUUUAGAAUCAAAGAAAACUUUGAUAAUUUGUCUAUCUACACCUUCCAAAUUGAUUGAUUAAUGCGUGCACGCUUUCCCUAGAAGUAAUUCACACCGGAGACAAAGUUUCUGAUCAGUGAAAAACUCAGGAAUGCUUUAUUCCCCGGAGUGGGGGCUCCUUCUUAAAGCAAAAAUACGUCACAGUUUAAACAUACAGUAUACAUUCACCAAUUGGUUAACAGAGAAAGGGGCCUCUUGUUUAAACCCCCCUACAGGAUGUAGUGUCA